RNAcentral lists this ribosomal RNA (403 nucleotides) under uncultured bacterium. RNAcentral's name for it is "bacterial SSU rRNA". It matches the Rfam family "Bacterial small subunit ribosomal RNA", at positions 355 to 774 of the family's 1533-position model. The record is from RNAcentral.
UCGGGAAUAUUGCGCAAUGGAGGAAACUCUGACGCAGUGACGCCGCGUGCAGGAAGAAGGUUUUCGGAUUGUAAACUGCUUUAGACAGGGAAGAAAAAAGACAGUACCUGUAGAAUAAGCUCCGGCUAACUACGUGCCAGCAGCCGCGGUAAUACGUAGGGAGCAAGCGUUAUCCGGAUUUAUUGGGUGUAAAGGGUGCGUAGACGGGAAAUCAAGUUGGUUGUGAAAGCCCUCGGCUUAACUGAGGAACUGCAACCAAAACUAAUAUUCUUGAGUGCUGGAGAGGAAAGUGGAAUUCCUAGUGUAGCGGUGAAAUGCGUAGAUAUUAGGAGGAACACCAGUGGCGAAGGCGACUUUCUGGACAGUAACUGACGUUGAGGCACGAAAGUGUGGGGAGCAAACA